Molecule: transfer RNA, 74 nt
Filed under: Loxodonta africana (African savanna elephant)
Lineage: Eukaryota; Metazoa; Chordata; Mammalia; Proboscidea; Elephantidae
Rfam family: tRNA
About the family: Transfer RNA (tRNA) molecules are approximately 80 nucleotides in length.
Source: Rfam by way of RNAcentral
CUCUGGGUGGUGUAAAAGGUUAAUGCUCUUGUCUGCUAACCAAAAAGUUGGAGGUUCAAGUCCUCCCACAGGUA